CGUCAUCAACAAUGCCAACAGAUAUUUGUUUACUCGGCAUUGUUGUGGAACACAACAAUGCCGUGUAAACAAAUAUCUGUUGGCAUUGUUGAUGACGU
This 98-nucleotide microRNA precursor is filed under the name Zootermopsis nevadensis. RNAcentral's name for it is "microRNA MIR158". Lineage: Eukaryota; Metazoa; Arthropoda; Insecta; Blattodea; Termopsidae. The record is from RNAcentral.